RNAcentral lists this ribosomal RNA (482 nucleotides) under uncultured soil bacterium. RNAcentral's name for it is "bacterial SSU rRNA". It matches the Rfam family "Bacterial small subunit ribosomal RNA", at positions 26 to 518 of the family's 1533-position model. The record is from RNAcentral.
AGGGCGAACGCUGGCGGCGUGCUUAACACAUGCAAGUCGAACGGUGAACCACCUUCGGGUGGGGAUCAGUGGCGAACGGGUGAGUAACACGUGACCAACCUGCCCCUAACUCUGGGAUAACCCCCGGGAAACCGGAGCUAAUACCGGAUACGAGGCCUCAUGGCAUCACGAGGUCUGGAAAGUUUUUUCGGUAGGGAUGGGGUCGCGGCCUAUCAGCUUGUUGGUGGGGUAAUGGCUUACCAAGGCGACGACGGGUAGCCGGCCUGAGAGGGCGACGGCCACGACGUGGGACUGAGACACGGCCCAGACUCCUACGGGAGGCAGCAGUGGGGAAUAUUGCGCAAUGGGCGAAAGCCUGACGCAGCGACGCCGCGUGAGGGAUGGACGGCCUUCGGGUUGUAAACCUCUUUCAGCAGGGAAGAAGCGAAAGUGACGGUACCUGCAGAAGAAGCGACCGGCUAACGUACGUGCCGAGUAGCCGC